Molecule: ribosomal RNA, 458 nt
Filed under: uncultured bacterium
Lineage: Bacteria
Description: partial 16S ribosomal RNA
Rfam family: Bacterial small subunit ribosomal RNA
Source: RNAcentral
CCUACGGGGUGCAGCAGUGAGGAAUAUUGGUCAAUGGGCGAGAGCCUGAACCAGCCAAGUCGCGUGAGGGAGUACUGCCCUAUGGGUUGUAAACCUCUUUUGUCGGGGAGCAAAAGCCGGACGUGUCCGGCUGUGAGAGUACCCGAAGAAAAAGCAUCGACUGACUCCGUGCCAGCAGCCGCGGUAAUACGGAGGAUGCGGGCGUUAUCCGGAUUUAUGGGGUUUAAAGGGGGCGCAGGCGGAUUUUUAAGUCAGCGGUAAAAGCGUGGGGCUCAACCCCAUCCAGCCGUUGAAACUGGGGAUCUAGAGUGUGCGAGAGGUAUGCGGAAUGCGUGGUGUAGCGGUGAAAUGCAUAGAUAUCACGCAGAACCACGAUUGCGAAGGCAGCAUACCGGUGCACAACUGACGCUCAGGCACGAAAGCGUGGGUAUCGAACAGGAUUAGAUACCCGUGUAGUC